This 425-nucleotide ribosomal RNA is filed under the name uncultured Alphaproteobacteria bacterium. RNAcentral describes it as "bacterial SSU rRNA". It matches the Rfam family "Bacterial small subunit ribosomal RNA", at positions 958 to 1385 of the family's 1533-position model. The record is from RNAcentral. Lineage: Bacteria; Pseudomonadati; Pseudomonadota; Alphaproteobacteria.
AACGCGAAGAACCUUACCAGGGUUUGACAUCCUGAGACCGCCCUCUAAUAGGGGUUUUCCCGCAAGGGACUCAGAGACAGGUGCUGCAUGGCUGUCGUCAGCUCGUGUCGUGAGAUGUUGGGUUAAGUCCCGCAACGAGCGCAACCCUCGCCUUUAGUUGCCAUCAUUAAGUUGGGCACUCUAGAGGGACCGCCGGCGACAAGCCGGAGGAAGGUGGGGAUGACGUCAAGUCCUCAUGGCCCUUACACCCUGGGCUACACACGUGCUACAAUGGCGGUGACAAUGGGCAGCUAACUCGCGAGAGCAAGCUAAUCCCAAAAAACCGUCCCAGUUCAGAUUGUACUCUGCAACUCGAGUACAUGAAGGUGGAAUCGCUAGUAAUCGCAGAACAGCAGGCUGCGGUGAAUACGUUCCCGGGCCUUGUA